CAUUAGAAAAAUUAAGGGCAGUGAUUUAGCCAAUUCUUGUUUUCCUACCUCAAAUAAAUACAAUAUUUUUAGAAACUUAAGAAAUCAAACAAAAUAUACACACAAAAAAAGCAUAAAAGUAUUACAUUAUACAAAUUUCUAGUUUUGCUUUACUUUUAAAACUAUACAUUUUAAUAGUGCUGAAUCUAACUUUGUUGGUGGGAGGUAAUGGAUAAUAGAAUCUUGGGGGAAAAAACAGUAAAAUUACAUCGGUGUUAUAAUUUCAGAUGGUUGAAGCUAAGAUGUUCUGGACAGAUAGUUUUAAAUAAGGAAUAGAACUCUGAGCUACUCCCAUUUUUCUCCUUUUCCUUGUUACUCUGGAAAAAUUGGUCUUGAUCCUGCAAGAUUGUAGAUAAUCAAAAAUAUUACAUAAAAUAAGAAACACUUUCUACUUAUCUUUGAAAUAAGUUUUGGUACUUUUAUUUGUGUUGGGUCAUGGUUGAGAUUUACUGCUCUGUUUCCAUGUAUCCUGAUUCUGUAGGCGAACAGAGCAUAAAAAAAUAGGGCCAGUUAGGGAAGCUUUGCAAUCGUGCAAAAUGUCUGCCCCUUGCUGUAUCCUCUUUCCUGUUCUCUAAGACUGCGACAAUCAGUUAGGAACAGCAAUCCUUGAGAAACCCAGGCCUCUUUUAACUCUCCAGGGACACUACUUCUAUCUGUUUUCAUGCUCCUUCUAAAGGAUCCUCCUUCAGACUAUAGCACACUUCCUGAACUUCCACCCAGUUUGCUACAUUCCCAGUCAUUUCUGCUUAGUUAGGACUUUGCCUCACCCUCAAUGGUGCUCUUUAUGUUUCACACGCAGAGCUGUCUUCUUAAAUUUUUGUUUUAAAAUGUUAUAUUUUUAACUCUAAGGGAAACAGGGUUAACAGGGUAGACAUGACAUCAAAAGGAUAAAUGUAGGGACCGACGCAGAUGUCUUUGGCAUUCUGAAAAUCUGCAGUGUAGUAGACAGAAUAAUACGAUUACACUGAAUUUGAUUGGGCAGCUCUCACUUCUGGUUCAUGAAGUGUUCCCACUUCAGAGUGGAAGGCUUCUCUCAACUAAUGCACUUGAAGUAGAUG
Molecule: long non-coding RNA, 1097 nt
Filed under: Homo sapiens (human)
Lineage: Eukaryota; Metazoa; Chordata; Mammalia; Primates; Hominidae
Description: LHRI_LNC1175.1
Source: RNAcentral